CCAUGGCAGUUGGACAAUUCUUUAGUCCAAAAGAUGGGGAAUUUGAGUUGUUUCCUCAGUUGUUGCUUCUCUCAACUUAUUCUCCGAAGGACAUAAUAUUGAAGGAGGACCAUCCUCUUGCUUUCAAUAUGUCAUUUGCUAUUAGCUUAGGUCUUUUUCCUGUUAAACUAUCUCUGGAAAGUACAGGAUGUGGAAUAAAAAAAUCUGUACUCCCCGUUGAAGAGGCUGGAGAUCUGGAGAAUGGCAGACUUUGCAAACUGCACUGUUUUCCACCUGUGGCACUUGCUUGGGAUGCUACAUCAGGUCUUCACAUAUUUCCAAAUUUGUAUUCUGAGACAGUUAUGGUGGAUUCUUCACCAGCACUCUGGAGUUCAACUCAGGGGUCCGAGAAGACUACCGUUUUGUUACUGGUAUUGUCAUCUAAUGUUUAAUAAGUUUCCUGUCUUGUAAUAACCAUACAAUAUAGGAUUAAUACAAUUCACAGUUCUAUUUCUCCAACCUUAAAAAUUAAAGGUUUUGAUUUCUGCGUUUUCUGUCAUAUUUUAUUUAUUUAUUUAUCGUUUGUGUGUGUGAAUGGGGACUAGUGAUUUCAGUAAUUUGUGUUUGCCACGUGUUCUGGUUUUUGCAACUAACUUCUGCAGCUUGUUGGGUCGUGCGCUGCUAUCUGUUACAUGGCGAUUUGGCUUGGAUACACAGACAUGCACUUAAUCUUUGGUGUAUCUAUGACUUUGGAGCAUGUGUGGCUCAGCAGGGAGAGCUGAAUAAUCAGUUGAAGCAGUAGCUCUAGAAGUUCUAGAUAUGAAGCAUGGGUCAUUUAUAAUUUCUUGGCAUUGUGCCUGGCAUGGGUGGGUGGACCAGGAGCUGUUGUGUUGAGUUUAAGUGGUCGGGUUCUGAAGCCAAGCUGGUAUCUGAUGACAUGCUGCUUUUCUCCCAUUCCAUUAGAUGGGUGAGUAUGUUUUAAAUUAAUCAGCCAUCUACUGUGAUUGGUUUUUGAUGCAUGGUGACAACCCUCAGGGUCCAAGUAAUUUGAGGUUU
This is a non-coding RNA of Camellia sinensis, 1035 nucleotides long. Lineage: Eukaryota; Viridiplantae; Streptophyta; Magnoliopsida; Ericales; Theaceae. The record is from RefSeq and is a predicted model, not a curated record.